RNAcentral lists this ribosomal RNA (433 nucleotides) under uncultured bacterium. RNAcentral's name for it is "partial 16S ribosomal RNA". It matches the Rfam family "Bacterial small subunit ribosomal RNA", at positions 29 to 507 of the family's 1533-position model. The record is from RNAcentral.
AACGAACGCUGGCGGCAUGCCUAACACAUGCAAGUCGAACGAGACCUUCGGGUCUAGUGGCGCACGGGUGCGUAACGCGUGGGAACCUGCCCUUAGGUUCGGAAUAACUCCCCGAAAGGGGUGCUAAUACCGGAUAAUGUCUUCGGACCAAAGAUUUAUCGCCUUUGGAUGGGCCCGCGUUGGAUUAGCUAGUUGGCAGGGUAAAAGCCUACCAAGGCGACGAUCCAUAGCUGGUCUGAGAGGAUGAUCAGCCACACUGGGACUGAGACACGGCCCAGACUCCUACGGGAGGCAGCAGUGGGGAAUAUUGGACAAUGGGCGAAAGCCUGAUCCAGCAAUGCCGCGUGAGUGAUGAAGGCCUUAAGGUUGUAAAGCUCUUUUACCCGGGAUGAUAAUGACAGUACCGGGAGAAUAAGCUCCGGCUAACUCCGUG